AGGGUUUGAUCAUGGCUCAGAACGAACGCUGGCGGCAGGCCUAACACAUGCAAGUCGAGCGCUUACCUUCGGGUAGGAGCGGCGGACGGGUUAGUAACGCGUGGGAAUAUACCCUUCACUACGGAAUAGCCUCGGGAAACUGAGAGUAAUACCGUAUACGCCCUUCGGGGGAAAGAUUUAUCGGUGAAGGAUUAGCCCGCGUAAGAUUAGAUAGUUGGUGGGGUAAUGGCCUACCAAGUCUACGAUCUUUAGCUGGUUUUAGAGGAUGAUCAGCAACACUGGGACUGAGACACGGCCCAGACUCCUACGGGAGGCAGCAGUGGGGAAUCUUGGACAAUGGGCGCAAGCCUGAUCCAGCCAUGCCGCGUGUGUGAUGAAGGCCUUAGGGUCGUAAAGCACUUUCGCCAGAGAUGAUAAUGACAGUAUCUGGUAAAGAAACCCCGGCUAACUCCGUGCCAGCAGCCGCGGUAAUACGGAGGGGGUUAGCGUUGUUCGGAAUUACUGGGCGUAAAGCGCACGUAGGCGGAUUAGUCAGUCAGAGGUGAAAUCCCAGGGCUCAACCCUGGAACUGCCUUUGAUACUGCUAGUCUUGAGUUCGAGAGAGGUGAGUGGAAUUCCGAGUGUAGAGGUGAAAUUCGUAGAUAUUCGGAGGAACACCAGUGGCGAAGGCGGCUCACUGGCUCGAUACUGACGCUGAGGUGCGAAAGUGUGGGGAGCAAACAGGAUUAGAUACCCUGGUAGUCCACACCGUAAACGAUGAAUGCCAGUCGUCGGGUAGUAUACUAUUCGGUGACACACCUAACGGAUUAAGCAUUCCGCCUGGGGAGUACGGUCGCAAGAUUAAAACUCAAAGGGAAUUGACGGGGGCCCGCACAAGCGAUGGAGCAUGUGGUUUAAUU
RNAcentral lists this ribosomal RNA (899 nucleotides) under uncultured Alphaproteobacteria bacterium. Its description in RNAcentral is "bacterial SSU rRNA". It matches the Rfam family "Bacterial small subunit ribosomal RNA", at positions 8 to 951 of the family's 1533-position model. Lineage: Bacteria; Pseudomonadati; Pseudomonadota; Alphaproteobacteria. The record is from RNAcentral.